GACGAACGCUGGCGGCGUGCUUAACACAUGCAAGUCGAACGGUGAAGGGGUCUGCUUUUGUGGGCCCUGGAUGAGUGGCGAACGGGUGAGUAACACGUGAGUAACCUGCCCCCUUCUUCUGGAUAACCGCAUGAAAGUGUUGCUAAUACGGGAUAUUCUGGGUCUGUCGCAUGAUGGGUCUGGGAAAGAUUGCGCCUUUGGGUGUUUUUGGUGGGGGAUGGGCUCGCGGCCUAUCAGCUUGUUGGUGGGGUGAUGGCCUACCAAGGCGGUGACGGGUAGCCGGCCUGAGAGGGUGGACGGUCACACUGGGACUGAGACACGGCCCAGACUCCUACGGGAGGCAGCAGUGGGGAAUAUUGCACAAUGGGCGCAAGCCUGAUGCAGCGACGCCGCGUGAGGGAUGGAGGCCUUCGGGUUGUAAACCUCUUUCGCCAGUGAAGCAGGCCUGCUCCUUGUGGGUGGGUUGACGGUAGCUGGAUAAGAAGCGCCGGCUAACUACGUG
This 502-nucleotide ribosomal RNA is filed under the name uncultured bacterium. RNAcentral describes it as "partial 16S ribosomal RNA". It matches the Rfam family "Bacterial small subunit ribosomal RNA", at positions 28 to 507 of the family's 1533-position model. The record is from RNAcentral.